This 774-nucleotide ribosomal RNA is filed under the name uncultured Neocallimastigales. RNAcentral's name for it is "partial large subunit ribosomal RNA". It matches the Rfam family "Eukaryotic large subunit ribosomal RNA", at positions 18 to 645 of the family's 3401-position model. The record is from RNAcentral. Lineage: Eukaryota; Fungi; Neocallimastigomycota; Neocallimastigomycetes; Neocallimastigales.
UCAGACGAUGCGUCAUGCAUAUCAAUAAGCGGAGGAAAAGAAACUAACAAGGAUUCCCCUAGUAACGGCGAGUGAAGCGGGAAGAGCUCAAAUUUGAAAUCUUAAAGGGUUUCCCUUUACGAAUUGUAGUUUAAAGAAGUGUUUUCUGUUGAGGUUUUGGUAAAAGUUCUUUGGAAUAGGACAUCAUAGAGGGUGAGAAUCCCGUAUUUGACCUUUACUUUCAACUUUGUGAUACACUUUCAAAGAGUCGGAUUGUUUGGGAAUGCAGUCCAAAAUGGGUGGUAAAUUUCAUCUAAAGCUAAAUAUUGGCGAGAGACCGAUAGCGAACAAGUACCGUGAGGGAAAGAUGAAAAGAACUUUGAAAAGAGAGUUAAACAGUACGUGAAAUUGUCAAAAGGGAAGCGUUUGACACCAGUGUUGUUUUUCUGAAAAUCAAUUAAAGAACUGUUUAUGCUAAGUUGUUUAGACUUUAUCAGCUAACUGUUUAGUUUUGAGCUUUUCUUUAAUGCACUUUUCAGUUAACAAGUCAACAUCAAUUUCUUUUGCUGUAAAAAAGCUUGAGGAAGGUGGCUUGAGAUUCGUCUUAAGUGUUUAUAGCCUCUUGCCUAUGCAGUCGGAGAGAUUGAGGUCUGCAGCGUAGAUCCUUCGGGGCUAAAUGCAUUUGUGCUAAGUUAUAGCAUUUUAUAGACAACUUGUUGACUAUGAUUUGUCUUGUAGCUUACUCGCUUAUGUUAUUUUACCUACGCUUAGGAUGUUGAAGUCAUCGUAUCGCGC